UACGGAGGGGGCGAGCGUUGUUCGGAAUCAUUGGGCGUAAAGGGCGCGUAGGCGGCCGUCCAAGUCGGGUGUGAAAUCCCUCGGCUCAACCGAGGAACUGCACUCGAUACUGGUCGGCUAGAGUCCGGGAGGGGAUGGUGGAAUUCCCAGUGUAGCGGUGAAAUGCGUAGAUAUCGGGAGGAACACCUGUGGCGAAAGCGGCUCACUGGACCACAACUGACGCUGAGGCGCGAAAGCUAGGGGAGCAAACAGG
This 253-nucleotide ribosomal RNA is filed under the name uncultured bacterium. RNAcentral describes it as "partial 16S ribosomal RNA". It matches the Rfam family "Bacterial small subunit ribosomal RNA", at positions 524 to 776 of the family's 1533-position model. The record is from RNAcentral.